Molecule: ribosomal RNA, 742 nt
Filed under: uncultured Halobacteria archaeon
Lineage: Archaea; Methanobacteriati; Methanobacteriota; Halobacteria
Description: bacterial SSU rRNA
Rfam family: Archaeal small subunit ribosomal RNA
Source: RNAcentral
GGCCAGCCAAGUUCGUCGGGAAAUCCACCUGCCCAACAGGUGGGCGUCCGGCGAAAACUGUCUGGCUUGGAACCGGAAGGCUCAGAGGGUACGUCGAGGGUAGGAGUGAAAUCCUGUAAUCCUCGACGGACCACCGAUGGCGAAAGCACUCUGAGAAGACGGAUUCGACAGUGAGGGACGAAAGCUAGGGUCUCGAACCGGAUUAGAUACCCGGGUAGUCCUAGCUGUAAACGAUGCUCGUUAGAUGUGGCACCCACUACGAGUGGGUGCUGUGUCGUAGGGAAGCCGCUAAACGAGCCGCCUGGGAAGUACGUCCGCAAGGAUGAAACUUAAAGGAAUUGGCGGGGGAGCACUACAACCGGAGGAGCCUGCGGUUUAAUUGGACUCAACGCCGGACAUCUCACCAGCAUCGACAACAGUAAUGACGGUCAGGUUGAUGACCUUUCCAGAGUUGUUGAGAGGAGGUGCAUGGCCGCCGUCAGCUCGUACCGUGAGGCGUCCUGUUAAGUCAGGCAACGAGCGAGACCCGCACUCCUAAUUGCCAGCACCGGCUUCGGCCGGGUGGGUACAUUAGGAGGACUGCCGUGGCUAACACGGAGGAAGGAACGGGCAACGGUAGGUCAGUAUGCCCCGAAUGUGCUGGGCUACACGCGGGCUACAAUGGCCAAGACAAUGGGUUCCCACCUCGAAAGAGGGCGGUAAUCUCCUAAACUUGGUCGUAGUUCGGAUUGAGGGCUGAAAC